Molecule: long non-coding RNA, 386 nt
Filed under: Callithrix jacchus (white-tufted-ear marmoset)
Lineage: Eukaryota; Metazoa; Chordata; Mammalia; Primates; Cebidae
Description: lncRNA (ENSCJAG00000071761.1)
Source: RNAcentral
GGGGUAUCCCUUCGUGAGCCGUCCGAUCGAAACCGGUUGCAACUUUCGCCAGUCUAGACCCCAGGCGACAAUAUCUGCACCUGACCCAGCCACCGAGGACUUUCUUUGAUGCCAGGUACCCCCGGUUCUGAGGAGAUCAGAGUUCAGUGGAGCUGAUGUUUAUGUAUGAUCUGGACACUGUCAUCUUGCCAACUGCUGUUAUCACAAGGUUAUGCCUGAAUGGCUUUUUUGAGCCAACGCCUCUCUCAGUGACAUCAGGCUCUUAUAUGGUAAAUUUGCUUCUGUGGCCUGAGUCCAGAACACAUCCUAGUCUUCUCUGGAGAGAAGCAGAGUCAGGGGAAGGAAGAGAUUUUGUAAUGUGGACAGUGUUCAGUGUUCAUUGCUGA